UUGAACGCUGGCGGCAUGCUUUACACAUGCAAGUCGAACGGCAGCGCGGGCUUCGGCCUGGCGGCGAGUGGCGAACGGGUGAGUAAUGCAUCGGAACGUGCCCAGUAGUGGGGGAUAGCCCGGCGAAAGCCGGAUUAAUACCGCAUACGACCUGAGGGUGAAAGCGGGGGACCGAAAGGCCUCGCGCUAUUGGAGCGGCCGAUGUCGGAUUAGCUAGGUGGUGGGGUAAAGGCUUACCAAGGCGACGAUCCGUAGCUGGUCUGAGAGGACGACCAGCCACACGGGGAGUUGGUCACGGCCGGGACCCUCACGGGAGGCCGCAGGCGGGGAGCGUGGACAACGCGGGUGACUUUGCGCCAGCUCUGCCGCGGGAUGGAAGAAGGCCGUCGGGUCGCGAACCGGGUUUGGGCGGGAAGAAAACCUCUGGGCGAAUAGCCAGGGGGGGGGACGGUACCGGAAAAAGAAGGACCGCCGACGUAUGCG
Molecule: ribosomal RNA, 483 nt
Filed under: uncultured bacterium
Lineage: Bacteria
Description: partial 16S ribosomal RNA
Rfam family: Bacterial small subunit ribosomal RNA
Source: RNAcentral